RNAcentral lists this ribosomal RNA (483 nucleotides) under uncultured bacterium. RNAcentral's name for it is "bacterial SSU rRNA". It matches the Rfam family "Bacterial small subunit ribosomal RNA", at positions 29 to 534 of the family's 1533-position model. The record is from RNAcentral.
AACGAACGCUGGCGGCAUGCCUAACACAUGCAAGUCGAACGAGACCUUCGGGUCUAGUGGCGCACGGGUGCGUAACGCGUGGGAAUCUGCCCCUUGGUUCGGAAUAACAGCGAGAAAUUGCUGCUAAUACCGGAUAAUGACGUAAGUCCAAAGAUUUAUCGCCAAGGGAUGAGCCCGCGUAGGAUUAGCUAGUUGGUGUGGUAAAGGCGCACCAAGGCGACGAUCCUUAGCUGGUCUGAGAGGAUGAUCAGCCACACUGGGACUGAGACACGGCCCAGACUCCUACGGGAGGCAGCAGUGGGGAAUAUUGGACAAUGGGCGAAAGCCUGAUCCAGCAAUGCCGCGUGAGUGAUGAAGGCCUUAGGGUUGUAAAGCUCUUUAAGUUGGGAGGAAGGUAGUAACCUAAUACGUUGCUACUUUGACGUUACCGACAGAUAAGCACCGGCUAACUUCGUGCCAGCAGCCGCGGUAAAGUGACUACUG